AGAGCGAACGCUGGCGGCAUGCUUAACACAUGCAAGUCACACGGGCAGGGGAAACCCUGUCAGUGGCGGACGGGUGAGUAACGCGUAGGUAUCUAUCCUUGGGUGGGGGACAACUGUGGGAAACUACAGCUAAUACCGCAUGAUAACUGAGGUUUAAAGGCGCAAGUCGCCUGGGGAGGAGCCUGCGUACGAUUAGCUAGUUGGUGGGGUAAAGGCCUACCAAGGCUGCGAUCGUUAGCUGGCCUGAGAGGAUGAUCAGCCACAUUGGGACUGAGACACGGCCCAAACUCCUACGGGAGGCAGCAGUGGGGAAUAUUGGACAAUGGGCGAAAGCCUGAUCCAGCAAUGCCGCGUGUGUGAAGAAGGUCUUCGGAUUGUAAAGCACUUUCGGACGGGACGAUGAUGACGGUACCCGUAGAAGAACGCCCGGCUAACUUCGUGCCAGCAGCCGC
RNAcentral lists this ribosomal RNA (452 nucleotides) under uncultured bacterium. Its description in RNAcentral is "SSU rRNA". It matches the Rfam family "Bacterial small subunit ribosomal RNA", at positions 26 to 518 of the family's 1533-position model. The record is from RNAcentral.